CGAAAAUGAAUCGGGCUCGGCCCGAUCCUCCCACCCUUUGUGUACCUACCUCUGUUGCUUUGGCGGGCCGCGGUCCUCCGCGGCCGCCCCCCUCCCCGGGGGGGUGGCCAGCGCCCGCCAGAGGACCAUCAAACUCCAGUCAGUAAACGAUGCAGUCUGAAAAACAUUUAAUAAACUAAAACUUUCAACAACGGAUCUCUUGGUUCUGGCAUCGAUGAAGAACGCAGCGAAAUGCGAUAAGUAAUGUGAAUUGCAGAAUUCAGUGAAUCAUCGAAUCUUUGAACGCACAUUGCGCCCUUUGGUAUUCCGAAGGGCAUGCCUGUUCGAGCGUCAUUACAACCCUCAAGCUCUGCUUGGUAUUGGGCACCGUCCUUUGCGGGCGCGCCUCAAAGACCUCGGCGGUGGCGUCUUGCCUCAAGCGUAGUAGAACAUACAUCUCGCUUCGGAGCGCAGGGCGUCGCCCGCCGGACGAACCUUCUGAACUUUUCUCAAGGUUGACCUCGGAUCAGGUAGGGAUACCCGCUGAACUUAAGCAUAUCAAUAAGACGGAGGAA
Molecule: ribosomal RNA, 554 nt
Filed under: Botryosphaeria dothidea
Lineage: Eukaryota; Fungi; Ascomycota; Dothideomycetes; Botryosphaeriales; Botryosphaeriaceae
Description: eukaryotic LSU rRNA
Rfam family: 5.8S ribosomal RNA (bases 180-333)
Source: RNAcentral